Molecule: ribosomal RNA, 671 nt
Filed under: uncultured bacterium
Lineage: Bacteria
Description: bacterial SSU rRNA
Rfam family: Bacterial small subunit ribosomal RNA
Source: RNAcentral
UCGAAAUGCCAAAGAUUUAUCGCUGAAAGAUGGCCUCGCGUCUGAUUAGAUAGUUGGCGGGGUAACGGCCCACCAAGUCGACGAUCAGUAGCCGGACUGAGAGGUUGACCGGCCACAUUGGGACUGAGAUACGGCCCAGACUCCUACGGGAGGCAGCAGUGGGGAAUAUUGGGCAAUGGGCGCAAGCCUGACCCAGCAACGCCGCGUGAAGGAAGAAGGCUUUCGGGUUGUAAACUUCUUUUAAGUGGGAAGAGUAGAAGACGGUACCACUUGAAUAAGCCACGGCUAACUACGUGCCAGCAGCCGCGGUAAUACGUAGGUGGCAAGCGUUGUCCGGAUUUACUGGGUGUAAAGGGCGUGCAGCCGGGCAUGCAAGUCAGAUGUGAAAUCUCAGGGCUUAACCCUGAAACUGCAUUUGAAACUGUAUGUCUUGAGUGCCGGAGAGGUAAUCGGAAUUCCUUGUGUAGCGGUGAAAUGCGUAGAUAUAAGGAAGAACACCAGUGGCGAAGGCGGAUUACUGGACGGUAACUGACGGUGAGGCGCGAAAGCGUGGGGAGCGAACAGGAUUAGAUACCCUGGUAGUCCACGCUGUAAACGAUGGAUACUAGGUGUGCGGGGACUGACCCCCUGCGUGCCGCAGUUAACACAAUAAGUAUCCCACCUGGGGAGUA